Molecule: non-coding RNA, 854 nt
Filed under: Channa striata (snakehead murrel)
Lineage: Eukaryota; Metazoa; Chordata; Actinopteri; Anabantiformes; Channidae
Description: partial 12S ribosomal RNA
Rfam family: Bacterial small subunit ribosomal RNA
Source: RNAcentral
AGUAUCCGCGCCCCUGUGAAAAUGCCCCACAGUUCUCCGCCCGAGAACAAGGAGCUGGUAUCAGGCACACCACACCAAGCCCACGACGCCUUGCUCAGCCACACCCCCAAGGGAACUCAGCAGUGAUAAACAUUAAGCCAUAAGUGAAAACUUGACUUAGUCAAAGCUAAGAGAGUCGGUAAAACUCGUGCCAGCCACCGCGGUUAUACGAGAGACCCAAGUUGAUAGUUGACGGCGUAAAGAGUGGUUAAGAAAACCAAUAAACUAAAGCCGAACACUUUCAAAACUGUUAUACGUAUUCGAAAGCAAGAAGCCCAACCACGAAAGUGGCUUUAUACCACCUGAACCCACGAAAGCUAAGAAACAAACUGGGAUUAGAUACCCCACUAUGCUUAGCCCUAAACAUUAAUAGCACAUUACAUCAGCUAUUCGCCUGGGUACUACGAGCAUAAGCUUAAAACCCAAAGGACUUGGCGGUGCUUGAGAUCCACCUAGAGGAGCCUGUUCUAGAACCGAUAACCCCCGUUAAACCUCACCCUCCCUUGUUUUUUCCGCCUAUAUACCGCCGUCGUCAGCUUACCCUAUGAAGGAAUAAUAGUAAGCUAAAUUGGUACAACCUAAAACGUCAGGUCGAGGUGUAGCGCAUGAGAGGGGAAGAAAUGGGCUACAUUCACUAUUAUAGUGAACACGAAUGAUGGACUGAAAUUUUCAUCUGAAGGAGGAUUUAGCAGUAAGCAGAGAAUAGAGUGCUCCGCUGAAACCGGCUCUAAAGCGCGCACACACCGCCCGUCACCCUCCCCGACUUAAUAUUUCCUAUAAUUAAUAACCUAGCAACUGUUAAGGGGAGGCAAGUC